GGGCCAGUGGGAUAACGCGUCUGACUACGGAUCAGAAGAUUCUAGGUUCGACUCCUGGCUGGCUCG
This 66-nucleotide transfer RNA is filed under the name Anguilla anguilla (European eel). It matches the Rfam family "tRNA". From Rfam's summary of the family: Transfer RNA (tRNA) molecules are approximately 80 nucleotides in length. Their secondary structure includes four short double-helical elements and three loops (D, anti-codon, and T loops). Lineage: Eukaryota; Metazoa; Chordata; Actinopteri; Anguilliformes; Anguillidae. The record is from Rfam by way of RNAcentral.